AUACGUAGGGUGCAAGCGUUGUCCGGAAUUAUUGGGCGUAAAGAGCUCGUAGGCGGCUUGUCGCGUCUGCUGUGAAAUCCCGAGGCUCAACCUCGGGCCUGCAGUGGGUACGGGCAGGCUAGAGUGCGGUAGGGGAGAUUGGAAUUCCUGGUGUAGCGGUGGAAUGCGCAGAUAUCAGGAGGAACACCGAUGGCGAAGGCAGAUCUCUGGGCCGCUACUGACGCUGAGGAGACGAAAGCAUGGGGAGC
This 248-nucleotide ribosomal RNA is filed under the name uncultured bacterium. RNAcentral describes it as "partial 16S ribosomal RNA". It matches the Rfam family "Bacterial small subunit ribosomal RNA", at positions 523 to 769 of the family's 1533-position model. The record is from RNAcentral.